UACGUAGGGUGCGAGCGUUAAUCGGAAUUACUGGGCGUAAAGCGUGCGCAGGCGGUUUUGUAAGCCCGAUGUGAAAUCCCCGGGCUUAACCUGGGAAUGGCAUUUGGGACUGCAAGGCUUGAGUGCGGCAGAGGAGACUGGAAUUCCUGGUGUAGCAGUGAAAUGCGUAGAUAUCAGGAGGAACACCGAUGGCGAAGGCAGGUCUCUGGGCUGACACUGACGCUCAUGCACGAAAGCGUGGGGAGCAAACAGG
Molecule: ribosomal RNA, 253 nt
Filed under: uncultured bacterium
Lineage: Bacteria
Description: partial 16S ribosomal RNA
Rfam family: Bacterial small subunit ribosomal RNA
Source: RNAcentral